GAUGAACGCUGGCGGCGUGCCUAAUACAUGCAAGUCGAACGAAACUUCUUUAUCACCGAGUGCUUGCACUCACCGAUAAAGAGUUGAGUGGCGAACGGGUGAGUAACACGUGGGCAACCUGCCCAAAAGAGGGGGAUAACACUUGGAAACAGGUGCUAAUACCGCAUAACCAUAGUUACCGCAUGGUAACUAUGUAAAAGGUGGCUAUACUACCGCUUUUGGAUGGGCCCGCGGCGCAUUAGCUAGGUGGUAGGGUAAAGGCUUACCAAGGCAAUGAUGCGUAGCCGAAUUGAGAGGUUGAUCGCCCACAUUGGGACUGAGACACGGCCCAAACGCCUACGGGAGGCAGCAGUAGGGAAUCUUCCACAGUGGGCGAAAGCCUGACGGAGCAACGCCGCGUGUGUGGAGAAGGUCUUCGGAUCGUAAAACCCUGUUGUUAGAGAAGAAAGUGCGUGAGAGUAACUGUUCACGUUUCGACGGUAUCUAACCAGAAAGCCACGGCUAACUACGUG
This 512-nucleotide ribosomal RNA is filed under the name uncultured bacterium. RNAcentral's name for it is "partial 16S ribosomal RNA". It matches the Rfam family "Bacterial small subunit ribosomal RNA", at positions 28 to 507 of the family's 1533-position model. The record is from RNAcentral.